Molecule: long non-coding RNA, 925 nt
Filed under: Pan troglodytes (chimpanzee)
Lineage: Eukaryota; Metazoa; Chordata; Mammalia; Primates; Hominidae
Description: long non-coding RNA NONPTRT014497
Source: RNAcentral
GGGAGAAGCAGUAUCGUGCAGGGCGGGCACGCUGGUCUUGCUUACAGUUGGGCUUCGAUUUUAUAGGUUCAGAAAGUGUGUCUCAGAGGAGUUAGAGAAGACCGAUUAAUAGAUGACAGUGCUAAAGCCUGGAUCUCCUGAAUCCUGGAUGAAAGUGUCCUAAGUUAGAUUCCUGGGAAGAAAAUUCUGAGACACAUUCUGCAGGAUGAUUAUUAGGGCUCAUCCUUGGUUUCAACACCCAUAGAAAGAAGGGGGAAGAAGAAAUCGAACAGAGAGACAGAAGUCGAGAUGCAUUUCAGGCCAGGACUCUUGGCUGAACGCACAGGAGCUCUGGAGCUAGAAUGGCCCUUCAGAGUUGUCCUGAGUUGGUCUGAGAUGGCCAGUUCUUUAUAUUCCUGCAUGGGAUAGUCACUGGAUGUCCACCCCAGGAAGGGGUGUGGCCGAGACAGUCCCUGAAAUGCCCGCCAGCACUCCCUACACCUGGAGCGACAAGACCAACAUCACAGGGGGAAUGCACUGGGUGAUGGAUCACAGCGUUCAUCCCAGAAGAUGAGGAUUCAGAAUUGGCUGACAGCUACGUUCUAAAUGUCAGUGUUCUCCAAAAUUCAUAUGUUGAAACUUAAUUCCCAAUGUGAUGGCAUUAGGAAGUGGGGCCUUUGGGGGAGGGACUAUAGGUCAUGAGGGUGUAACCCUCAUCAAUGGGAUUAGUGUCCAGAGAGCUGCCUUGCCCUUCCACCAUGUGAGGACAUAGUGAGAAGGUGCCAUCUAUGAACUAGGAAGUGGGCGCUUACCACCAGACACCCACUCUUCUGGCAACUUGAUCUUGAAUUUCCCAGCCUCCAGAACUCUGAGAAAUCAAUUUCUGUUAAUUAUAAGCUACCCAGUCAAUAGCAUUUUGUUAAAGCCGCUGGAACUAAACUAAGAC